ACCACUUGACAAACCCUUCAUCACUACUCAUCCAAAACGGAUGUCCAGGUACACUGCCUGAAAAUCUGCCUAGUUGGAGGAUUUUGCCUCAACUCUGCCUCUCAGGAUCACUUCUGAAUAAGACUGUAUUUAGCAGCAAUUUUUGGUGUUUACUAACAUAUUGAGACAACAUCACUAUGAACCAUUACAUUGGAACCACUGUGAGAUAGAUAGAUGAGUCCACUGAGGCACAGAGAAGUUGAGUAACUUGUUGAAGAACCACAAUCCUACCCAAAUCAAUGAAUUUCGCUUUCUCAGGACUGAAAAGCCUGCCAGGAGGCAAGAGAGGAGACAACGAGAUAAAAGUCUGGUCACUUCUUCCCAAGGAUGGCUUCACAAAGGUGGUGGCUGAAGCCCCCUUCAGGCCAGUUCAGGAGCUACUUCACUCUGCUUUACUCAUAAAUAAUUUCAACUCCCUGAAGCUCCUUAAAGUAAAGGGACAAAGACAGCCAACGCCCUUAAUAGAGCCAGCU
This 512-nucleotide long non-coding RNA is filed under the name Equus caballus (horse). RNAcentral describes it as "lncRNA (ENSECAG00000038660.3)". The record is from RNAcentral. Lineage: Eukaryota; Metazoa; Chordata; Mammalia; Perissodactyla; Equidae.